UGCUUAAAGGGACCGUAGCUUGGUUGUUAAGUCUCUUGGGAAAUCUACCGGCUCAACCGGUAGGCGUUCAGGAGAUACUGGCAAUCUAGGGACCGGGAGAGGUGAGAGGUACUCCAGGGGUAGGAGUGAAAUCCUGUAAUCCUUGGGGGACCACCUGUGGCGAAGGCGUCUCACUAGGACGGCUCCGACAGUGAGGGACGAAAGCUGGGGGAGCAAACCGGAUUAGAUACCCGGGUAGUCCCAGCUGUAAACGAUGCGCGUUAGGUGUAUCGGUGACCACGAGUCACCGAGGUGCCGAAGGGAAACCGUGAAACGUGCCGCCUGGGAAGUACGGUCGCAAGGCUGAAACUUAAAGGAAUUGGCGGGGGAGCACCACAACAGGUGGAGCCUGCGGUUUAAUCGGACUCAACGCCGGAAAGCUCACCGGAUAAGACAGCGGAAUGAUAGCCGGGCUGAAGACUCUGCUUGACUAGCUGAGAGGAGGUGCAUGGCCGUCGUCAGUUCGUACUGUGAAGCAUCCUGUUAAGUCAGGCAACGAGCGAGACCCACGCCAACAGUUGCCAGCAUGUCCUCCGGGAUGAUGGGGACACUGUUGGGACCGCCUCUGCUAAAGAGGAGGAAGGAAUGGGCAACGGUAGGUCAGCAUGCCCCGAAUUAUCCGGGCUACACGCGGGGCUACAAUGGACAGGACAAUGGGGUAUCGACACCGAGAGGUGA
Molecule: ribosomal RNA, 717 nt
Filed under: uncultured archaeon
Lineage: Archaea
Description: bacterial SSU rRNA
Rfam family: Archaeal small subunit ribosomal RNA
Source: RNAcentral